Molecule: transfer RNA, 69 nt
Filed under: Hydromanicus melli
Lineage: Eukaryota; Metazoa; Arthropoda; Insecta; Trichoptera; Hydropsychidae
Description: tRNA-Phe
Source: RNAcentral
AUUUAAAUAACUUAAAUUGAGAGUGUUAUAUUGAAGAUAUAAAAGUGAUUAUUGUAUAAUUUUUAAAUA